GGCCCGGGAUAGCCCAGGGAAACCUGGAUUAAUACCGGAUGAGACGGGACCCGCGAUGGCGGGACCCGGGAAAGGCGCUGCGGCGCCGGCCGGGGGAUGAGUCUGCGUCCCAUUAGCUAGGCGGCGGGGUAACGGCCCACCGUGGCGACGAUGGGUAGCCGGCCUGAGAGGGUGGACGGCCACAUUGGAACUGAGACACGGUCCAGACUCCUACGGGAGGCAGCAGCUAAGAAUCUUCCGCAAUGGGCGAAAGCCUGACGGGAGCGACGCCGCGUGAACGAAGAAGGCCGUGAGGUUGUAAAGUUCUUUCGGGAGGGGAACAACCGUGGCAGGGAAUGGCCGCGGGAUGACGUGAAUCCCGGAAUAAGCCCCGGCUAACUACGUGCCAGCCGCGGC
RNAcentral lists this ribosomal RNA (396 nucleotides) under uncultured bacterium. Its description in RNAcentral is "bacterial SSU rRNA". It matches the Rfam family "Bacterial small subunit ribosomal RNA", at positions 135 to 518 of the family's 1533-position model. The record is from RNAcentral.